Molecule: long non-coding RNA, 2227 nt
Filed under: Sus scrofa (pig)
Lineage: Eukaryota; Metazoa; Chordata; Mammalia; Artiodactyla; Suidae
Description: lncRNA (ENSSSCG00065073140.1)
Source: RNAcentral
GAGCCAUUAGCCCUAAGGGAUACGGAUGAAGUAGAUCCAACCAUCCCACUGCUUGAUGAAGAAGCACAGAACUUUGAAUUCAAGGCUGCCUUUAUCUAGAUCCCUGACUGACCUGCACUGAGGAGAAAGCAGUUCCAGCUUUGGAAACUGGGGCACUGGGGGAGCCAGGCUGGACCUGGGGUCUCUCUUCCUUAACGUGGCAGAAGUGAUAGAACAAAAUUACCACCUUGACAAAACGGAGGAAGCAGUCCUCUGUACAGAGGCUCAACGGGUGAUCCUCCCAGCGCAGGGAAAUGUUAAUGAAGCCAAGUCGAAAACUGAUGAUGUGCUGCCCUCAGUGUGUAACACACCAUGUUAAGAGCGAAUACAAGCAUUUCUCCUUAGGUUCAGGGACAGAGAAUUUGAGCAGUGUCCUGGUAACAGCCUGCAUGGAAGCAGAGGUCAGUUCCUGAGAAGCUCUGCCUGCGUACCUCCUCAGUUUGGGGGAAGGAGGAGCCCCGACCUGGUCAAAAUCAGCCUUCCUUCCCCAGAGCGCCUGUGACCUGAGACCAGGCAAGAACCACGACUGACCACAGGGGAGCUCUUUCAGGAUGAAUAUCAGGCAGCUGACACGUUCUGAUUCUCGCUCUUGCCAUGCACUUCAUCGAGAAGCACACUCUCUUCCGGCGUGAUAAUUCUGUGGUUAACUAGCAUCACUGCACGAGCAAAUGAACAAGACUUUGAUGUGAAUAGCCCUUCCAUGCAUGUGCAAACCACAGCGUGCAAUUUCCCUGCAAGGGGAGGAAUCCCAGCUAUUCCUACCCUGAACUGGACACUUAGGGGUGGGAGCCUCGGUGAAGGUCGCCACUACCUUCCUGUGUACACCCCUGGCCCCCACCACCAUCCUCUUAGAACAACAGCGUAGAUAUUGCAGAAUCCAGUCACUUUCGUUACACUGUGCUCCUGUUCCCUUGGGAAGCCAGCCCCACACUCCUGUAGACUCUCUCUCAUCCCCUAGAUGAGCCUUUUCGUCUACCCCUUGGACAUUCUGACCUCGUACACACCUCGAAGUGUACCGGUAACUCUGCUCUAAUAUGUCAAGUUCUGAAAACAUUUCCACUCUUCUGGCCAAGGAGGCUCAGCCAGUUGUGGGGUGAAAUUUGGGAAGCCUGGAUUGGGAAGUGAAGAUCACCUUGUUCUGUGGAAAGUGAAAGAGGAAUUGAAGCGAGGAAGCUAACGCUCUUCCUUUGGUUCCAGCGCAUCAACCUUCACCUCUCCCCGCAGCACCGCGAUCACCAGCCAUCAAGGCCACCUUGCCCGGUGCCUUUUUUUUUAAAUAUGGCUUUAAAUGCUUCAUCGUGGUUAGAAGACAACAUGCAGGAGAAGGGAUGGAAAAGAGGCAAGGUGGAAUUUCAACUCAGUGGUCAAGGAAGGCCUUCCUGAGAUGACAUGUGAUCAGAUGUCAGAACCAAGUGGGGGAGCAAACCAGAGGGAAGAGCCAGUGCAAUGGCCCUGAAGUGGGAGCCUGCCUAGGCCCCUCUGGGAACAGUUGGAAUGCCUGUGAGGCAGAAAGAAUGCAAGUAAGGGACGAGUGUGGGAGCUGAGGUUGGAGAGCUCAGCAGGGCCAGGCUACGUUACCAUGGGGACUUGCAGUUGCUUCUCAGUGCAGUGGGAAGGCCUCAGAAGACUUGACGCAGGGAAUGCCGUGUUCUGAGUUUGUACCAUCAAGCAGCAAGGGGCAGGGCGACUUGUCACAGCCCCCACCUGUCCACACAGCUGAUCUGGAGAGAAGCAUUAACAAAAUGAUGGGGAAGACACAAAAUAGAAGAACAGAGAAAGAAGAAAGAGGAAGUAGAAUUCAGGAGGAGAAAAAAUCAUGACAUUGGUUUAUUGAAAACUGAACAGAAGGCAAAAUUGCACCCAGCCACCUCCAGCCCAGCAGGCUUGUCAAAACCAACUCAGACACAGGGGGACUCUUACCUAUUUGUCUCUGGAUCUUCAGAAUGGAGUCAGGAGAGGUGGCAUUUGGAGGCAGCGGAGCUGUGCUGGUUACCUUCGUUUCCCCCUCUGCAUCUACAGAGGUGUUUUGCACAUAAAAGGAUUUCAACAGAGUGAAAUGAUCACUAACUUUUAAGUUAUAUCUACUCUUGCAAAGUGAAAUGUGGAGUUCAGAUGUCUGGGGGGAUAAAAAGGUGUUACAAAAAGACCCAAAUGGUCCACAUGAAUAAAAGAUGAUACAUUUGGGCCA